GUUGGACGACGGGGCGGGUCCUUGCGGGGUGGGGCUCUGGAGGCCGGGGAAGAUCUGCCCAGCCAGCCCGGCCUGCCGGGCGCCGAGGCGCCUUUCCCUAGCUGCCUGGCCCCUGGAGCAAUGUGAUAAGAUGGGAUUGCGGCGAGCUCUGGGGAGACUCGGUCCGAAAGAGAGGCCAGAAAGGAUCAACUCUAAAACCAGCCUAUCAGACCAGACAUCUGCCAUAAGCACAGCCUCAGACCACCGACUGUAGAGUUUUUUGAGUCACUCCCUCCUCAACCAAAAUAAAGUCUUCCUGUGCAGCCCACACUGAUCUUCAAGAACUCAGUAUGCAACCCAGGCCUGCCUCAGCUUCCCAGGUAUUGGGAUUAUAGUUUCAGAUUUUAUCAAGAUAGUUGUUACCCAUCUCUACCUUCAGACCUGUGGCAGUCAAUUCUGUACUAGCUUCUAAAGCAGUUUGCACACAACUUACAGGAGUCAAGGCAGGUUCACUGGGAAGCUGGUCUUGGAUGAGUUGACUGGCCCCAAGGACUGAGUUCAGGGGAGUCGCCAUGGGGAGGAGAAACGAUGCUGGUGCUCAUGCAGAGAGACGAGAAGAGGAAGAGGAGGGAGGAAGGGAGGAACUCAUUAAUUUAGGAGGUCAAUCAUAUAAUGGUAACUUCAUAGAUAAUUGCCCCACUGGCUGAAAUAAUUCCUUUUACUCAGCUGGCUUAAGUCUGAAAAAAACUGUCAUUAUUUUGCUGUGCUCUAGA
Non-coding RNA from Arvicanthis niloticus (Nile rat), 752 nucleotides. The record is from RefSeq and is a predicted model, not a curated record. NCBI's taxonomy places the organism in Eukaryota, Metazoa, Chordata, Mammalia, Rodentia, Muridae.